This 184-nucleotide non-coding RNA is filed under the name Ignavibacteria bacterium. The record is from RNAcentral. Lineage: Bacteria; Pseudomonadati; Ignavibacteriota; Ignavibacteria.
UUUGAAUUAAAUCUAUUUAGUUUUUGCAAAGUUUUGCAGGAAACAGGUGAAAUUCCUGUGCUGUUCCGCAGCUGUAAAGUGGAGAUUUUCCUCGGCAAUUGUGCAGCCACUGUUAUUAUUAAUGGGAAGGUGAGGGAAGUCGUUGAAGCUAAGCCAGAAGACCAAUUGAAUAGACUCUAUUGUU